Molecule: ribosomal RNA, 253 nt
Filed under: uncultured bacterium
Lineage: Bacteria
Description: partial 16S ribosomal RNA
Rfam family: Bacterial small subunit ribosomal RNA
Source: RNAcentral
UACGUAGGGGGCUAGCGUUGUCCGGAAUCAUUGGGCGUAAAGCGCGUGUAGGCGGCCCGGUAAGUCCGCUCUGAAAGUCGGGGGCUCAACCCUCGGAUGCGGGUGGAUACUGUCGGGCUUGAGUGCGGAAGAGGCGAGUGGAAUUCCUGGUGUAGCGGUGAAAUGCGCAGAUAUCAGGAGGAACACCAAUUGCGAAGGCAGCUCGCUGGGACGUUACUGACGCUGAGACGCGAAAGCGUGGGGAGCAAACAGG